Molecule: ribosomal RNA, 450 nt
Filed under: uncultured bacterium
Lineage: Bacteria
Description: partial 16S ribosomal RNA
Rfam family: Bacterial small subunit ribosomal RNA
Source: RNAcentral
AACGAACGCUGGCGGCAUGCCUAACACAUGCAAGUCGAACGAGAUCUUCGGGUCUAGUGGCGCACGGGUGCGUAACGCGUGGGAAUCUGCCCUUUGGUUCGGAAUAACAGUUGGAAACGACUGCUAAUACCGGAUGAUGACGAAAGUCCAAAGAUUUAUCGCCAGAGGAUAGAGCCCGCGUAGGAUUAGCUAGUUGGUGUGGUAAAGGCGCACCAAGGCGACGAUCCUUAGCUGGUCUGAGAGGAUGAUCAGCCCCACUGGGACUGAGACACGGCCGAGCCUCCUACGGGAAGCAGCAGUGGGGAAUAUUGGACAAUGGGCGAAAGCCUGAUCCAGCAAUGGCGCGUGAGUGAUGAAAGCCUUAGGGUUGUAAAGCUCUUUUACCCGGGAUGUUAAUGACAGUACCGGGAGAAUAAGCUCCGGCUAACUCCGUGCCAGCCGCCGCAGUAA